This 30-nucleotide non-coding RNA is filed under the name Rattus norvegicus (Norway rat). The record is from RNAcentral. Lineage: Eukaryota; Metazoa; Chordata; Mammalia; Rodentia; Muridae.
UAAAACAGGAAUUCUAUAUGUUUAGCUGUA